RNA transcript from Equus caballus (horse), 11025 nucleotides. It is a transcript of the gene named solute carrier family 35 member E2, with no coding region annotated. The record is from RefSeq and is a predicted model, not a curated record. NCBI's taxonomy places the organism in Eukaryota, Metazoa, Chordata, Mammalia, Perissodactyla, Equidae.
GGAAGUGAAUCCGGGCUGCCAAAGCAGAGUGUGUCGAACUUUAACCACUAGGCCAUUGGGGCUGGCUCCACCAAGUUGAUUUUUAUUUCAAAAUUUUCCAACUUCUAUUUUGAGAAACUCGUAGCCUUGCAGGAGAUUUGCAGAAGUUUCCAUCCAGUGUCUCCGAGCCUCCACGGUGCUGACAUCUCACGUGAUCUCAGUAGGUUUAGCGCAGUGGUACAGUAGGAUUGUGCCGAAUCCAAACGUCGAUACAAGACUGUCAGCUCAUCCACAGACCAAUUCACCUUUGGGCUGUAGCUGACUUGUGUCCCUCUUCUGGAGUUUGAUCCCAUCUGGUGCCUCACAUUGGUCAGGUGGUCUUGUCCCCUUGGUCUCGUCCAAUCCUUGAGUUUUGUGACCUGCAUCCCUUUGGAUUUGUCUGGCAUUUUCUCAGUUAGGUUUGUGGUUGUGAUUGUGGCAGGAGAACCACAGGAGCGAUGACCUGCUCUUCUCUGUGCCUCAGACCGGGGGGGACACGGUGUGUGUCUGUCUCAUUUCUGGUGAUUCCAACUUUGACCACUUGCUUGGGUGAUGUCUGCAGUUUCUCCACAGUAAAGUCGUGUGUCUCCCUCUGUCAUUAGUAGACACAGAAACUCUGCAAAGACCUCAUGGAAUUUUCUCUCAGCAGUUGUACGGUUCAUCUCUAGACAUUCCCGGUGGCUUCUUUGUCCACACCACUGCAUGCUGUGCAUCUGAGAGCUCCAGGACCUCAUCCUGGGCUCCAGCUGUCCCUCCCUGGAGCUGCCAGGUGGCAGCUUCUCCCCCACUGGCCGCCUCUCAAGGGGUGGGGCUGAUCUUUGAUCUUUGAUCCUCGUCCAUUGAUACUCAUUUGCAAAGGUCCUCCAGCCUGAAUGGCGGAAGCUUUUCUCCAGUGUAGAUUACUUCUCCUUCAGGUGGCGAUCUUCGGCUGGGGCCACUUCCGCCUCUGUAGGGGGUGGCUCAAAGCAGGACCCCUGCCACCUCGAGCUCCCCAUGCUGCUUGUUGAGGGGUCCUCGGAGCCCCUCACAUUUCUUCCCAUCCCAACUUGGAGCUUCCUGGGAGCCUGUCUGCCCCCAGCAUGAAUCCAGAGGCCCCUGGUGAGAUUUUCUCUUCUGCUGCCCCGCUCUUGGCUCCCGGGGCCCUUCGUGGUUAUUUUUACAGUCACAUCUCCUUGUCCGUGCACAUUUCAUUGCUUACCUCUCCCAGGGUCUCAGCCGUGUCUCUCUCUCCGAGCUCUCUUCCUGCAGCCUUGUUUUCUCUUCUUCCUCUUUGCUUCGUUUCUCCAGUUCCCUGCCUGCACUCCUCUCCCAGUGGGCGCUGAGGUUGACCAGAGGCUCUGCCUCUGCUCAGCUGUGUCCUCUGUCGAGGCCUUUUCCUGGGGCCCCGAUAUUCCUGCUCAAGGUCUGUCCUUUGCCUGUUGAACUCCCCAGAGAAGCUCCUUCUGGCCUCCUGCCUGGAGGGCCAUGGCCAGGCCCCUCUCGUCCUCAGUGUCUGCUUUCCUGCUGGCUCUCAGCCUCCAUCACAGCCCAGGGCCUCGCGCAGCCCGGUCUGCAGCUGCUGCUCCUGCGCUGCUUCCUCCUUAUUCCAGCCCCUCGGCCCCACCCCACCCCUCACCCCGGGAGUCCCAGAGGAGUCUGGAGCGCGCUUUCUGCUCUCCAGGCCUCGGCCCCUCUGUGGCCAGCUUUGACAUUCUUGCCUCCUCACCUCUCUCUCCUCCCACGUGGGUUUGUGUUAACUCAACAAAGUCAAGCAGACAGCUCAGAUACCUGGAUGUGAUUUAGUGAGCUUUGUAGGGAAGGAGCUAAAUGGCACCAACAUCAUCUGCACCUGGGGUCCAUAUUCUUUUCCCUUUUUUUGGUGAGGAAGAUUGGCCCUGAGCUAACAUCUAUGCCUCUUCCUCUAUUGUGUAUGUGGGAUGCCCCCACAGCAUGAGUGAUGAGUGGUGCGUAGGUCUGCACCCAGGAUCUGAACCUGUGAACCCCAGGCCACUGAGGCAGAGCACAUGAACUUAACCACUAGGCAACCGGGCCAGCUCCUACUUUCAUUUUUUAAGAUGUUCAAAGCCCUGCUUUGACUCCAGAGGCAUUUGGACUUGAUACAGAAGCUGUGUGCACUCAGAGGGCCCCUGUCCCCUCCAGUGGCCCAGGAAGAGCGGUUUCCUUGGCUGGGUGCAGAGGCCAAGUGGGGCCUCCCUGCUCCUGGGCUCCCAGCCAUUGCAUCGCUCCUUUACCAGACUGGGCUGUUUGUGCAGAUUCGAUGGUCACAAGGUUGUGCCCUGGAGGGCGAGUGUUUCGUGGUGGCCAGAGCGUUCGUCCUGGGCUUCCUGGACCCUGCUCUGGUUGAGAGUGGACACAGCAUUGGUCUGUUGACGGAGCCCAUGAGUGGCUGGGCAUCUGGGUCCCCGGCACCUGCUGUGUUCUGCUCUGGAAGCCCAGUCUCUGGCUCCCUGUGCAUGGGAGGAGGGCAGCGCAGCGCCACCUGACCAGAAACUUCCCAGGGCACAGGUCAGACCCGACCCCUGAGGGGCCAGCCGUUGGGAGGCUAGCCCAGGUCACCCAGGAAGCACUCACUCUGAAGUUGGGUCUUGGGGCCAGGGAAGGACGGGCCGGCAAUUGGACCUGCUACCAGUGCUGCCCACCCGCCCUCCGGCCACUCCCUCCGUCCAACACUGGCCGUUGAUCCAGCCUGAAAUCGGAAUCCAUAAUGAAAACGAAGGUUUAGCUCCAACUGUGUGGGCUCUGGUCUAAACAGGCGUCUGUAGAUCUGGGGGCGCACGUGUGGCUCGACAGGGCCCCUGAGGACCCGGGAGAGGCUGUGCUUCUGACAACGGACUUUGCUCAAGGGACACGGGAUGCUUUCCGUGUGUAAAUCUCAAGCUUGCAGGACAGUGUGGAAAUAACACGGUGCCUGCCCACGCACAUCCCGUGCUGUGUGACAUGUUUUUGCUUUUCCUCUGGGCCCUGUCCCUGGUCCUGUUGGUCCUCCACGAGAUAACCGCGGCCUUGACUUCUCUGUUCUUCACUCAUUUUCAAGACUUUUUAUGUUUUUUUCCUAAACAGUAAGUAGUGUUUUGGCAUAUUUAACAGCUCUUUGUGGAACCGUAUUGUGUGUCUCCCCACUGCCGGACCCCCCUCCACCGACUCAGCCUUGUUGUGUUGUUGCUGCGGCAGCUGUAAAAUUUCCCCGUUGGCUCGUGAGGCCGAGGCCCCUCUGACUGCCUGGGGUCCAGCCCCACGAGCAGACUGGUGCUUGUUCCUCCCGUGGAAAGGCAUUCAGGUUGUGCUUUGCUACUAACAAAAAUGCUGCAGGAAAGACCUCCCGAAGCGGGUUUUGGUGAGAGUUGAAGCGCCCAAGUCCCCAGGCCAUCAACUCUCUUCCUGCUUCAGCCUUGGCCAAGUGCUAUGGUUUCUCUCUCGUUCCCUGUCACUCUCAGUGACUCCUGAAAGGUCACAUCCGAGAGUUUCGAUCGGAAUCUAUUUGCAUUUGUGUUGUCGGCUGUUUCCAACAGUCAGUGGGGACAGUCGGUGACAGUAACAGAACUGUGAGUGCCUCGGCGGGGCAGUUCCAGCUUGGCGGCUCCCCGCUUGGUCACACUUGAGCAUCAGCCAAGGGGCAAAAGGUCACUGAGGCAACGAGGUACUCGGACUUCCCCCGCAGUUCUCUGGCCUCACUGGUCCAGGCAGAGCUGGACACCUGUCUGUCUGUCUGAGCUCGGGGUGUUUGCGUGCAGCUGCACCGAGGACCCCUGCCAGUCCAGGCAGGGAGGAAGGUGAGACCCUGCUUCCUUGUACGGCCGUGCCUCCGCAAGGACAGUUCACAGCGUUACCGCCCUGUGGCACCAGAGGGGGCAGGAAAACGAACGUUUUGAACCCGAGCUUCGUCUUGCAUCUGGUGGAGGAGGGAUGGUGGGUUGCCGGCUGGGCCUGUAGCACCUGCCUUUGCUCUUUGUGGUGUUUUUUGGUGCCGUGGGUACAUCUUGAGCGUCAACUCCUUGCCCUGCAAACAGGUUUGGUUUUCGAAACUCGGUGGUGGCUGUGGGGUACGUGUGACAAACACCAUGACAGAGUCCUCGAGGAGAGGGACCUGAUGCUGUUGGGGGCCUCGGAAUUAGAGUUGGGCCCUGACGAGGAGCUUUCCUGGGAAGGUAGAGCCCACACCCAGUGGUGCUUGUGUCCUGGAGGUGGGAGGGAGCAGGGAGAGAGGGCAGGGGUGCAAGGCCCCAGGCAGGUGGGGGUGCGGCCAGUCUAGGAGAGGGCCCGGCAGGAGGCCAGGAUGCUGGGCAUCCACAGACAGCAUUGGUUGGCUCCUGUGGUAAGGAGCCCAGGAGGCACAGUCUGGGACCCAGGGGCCCUCGGGUGGGGUGCUCUCUCUCUGCUCUUAGGGACCCUGCACCAUAGCAGUGGGCUUUGUUCCUGCAUUUCACCUCCACUUGCAGCCAGGCCCCUGUCCCUGGCAGUGGGGGCUGGGGUUGGAGCAUAGAUUCCCCACAUCUCCAACUCAGGGCGCAGCCAGUCCAGCUGCAGGGGAUUCCCGAGCCCGCAGAGGUUUUGCUCCUAGCAUGUUGUUGCCCCGAACAAGACAGUAGGACUGGGCUGGAGAAGAAUAAGAAGGAAGUGGGCAUUUUAGUGGAGACCUGGUGCUGUGGCCCAAGGAGCUCAAGAGCUUGCGGGUAUCCCGGGGACAGUAAGCCCGUGGGAGGGCCGGGCGCACACCCAUUGUGGUCUGGGGAGGCUGCCCUGCUGUGCUGAGGGUCAGGGUGCAGAUGGGUGGCAUGGAGGAGCUGAGGGUGCUCCCUGGGACCUCAUGGUGCUGAGCUAGUGUGUGACUGGGCAGACCGAGAGCACCAGAUGGACAGGCGGGUGGACACUGGGGGCCGAGGGAGGGCAGGAGGGCACUCAGCGCGUCUGGGGCUGCGUCACCUGGGCGCACGGCUGGAGCCAGGUUCCUGGUGUGGGGAAGCCACAAGUGCAGUGUGGACCACUUGGGUUUGAGGGACCUCUAAGCUCUUGUAGGCAGAUGAGCAGGAAGCAGUGGGGUGGGCAGCCUGAGCUCCUAGGGGAGCUCGGCCAGGAGGUGACAGCAUGUGUCCCUGUUGAGUGCCGGCAGGCGGGAGAGGAGCACAACCCCCUGGAGUGUGGUGCAGCUAGCUCAACACCCAAAUACCUCCUGCUCUGCACGCCUGGAAAUUAGGGAUAAGAUAUAAUAGGCGUCAUUUCAGAUGUAUGACUGAGCUCUGCAUAACACAAGGAAACCUCAGAUGUCAGAAACUGGGGAGGAAUAGGCAGUCCGAGUGGCCAGCCCAUGUGAGGCUGCCUGGGCAGGGUGGUGGCGGCCCAGGGACUUGGAUGUGACAUCCCUGGGGAAGGAGGUCGGACCCUGGCCCUCCUGAGAUGGCACAGGCAGUUGUCACUGAGAACCUUGAAAAAUUUGCCUCCCAGCACAGGAGAAAGACCAGUCCUGACUUAUGAGGGAAAUCACGACCAUGGGCCGGAGUACCAGGCGGGCAUGAGUUUGGUGUGUUGAGGGUUUGUCCAGAAAGCAUAAAGUCGGUCCUGGGCUGGUGACACCGCUGGGGCCCCUGGCAGAGGCAGACCCAAGCCUGUUUAAAGGCGCACCCUCAACUCGAGAAGGAGCUCCCUCGGCCCGGGUGCACAGGGCCCCAGGUCUCAGGUCCUGCUGAAGGCGGUGAUGACACGCACCAGGAACUGUCCACCACGAGCCAGUGGCACCCGACGCACGCAGGAAGCAGGGUCACACUGCGGAGGUCUUUGGGUGAUCAACUGUCAGAGACAGUAAAAUAGAAGAUGGAAAGAAGACAUCAGAAAGUUAAGGAAAGAACAAGAUGCUGUGAGAAAAACAGGCCAAUUUGAAAUGGAACCAAGCAGAACGUCCAUAAAUGAAAAGUACCGUGAUUGAAGUUUAAAACCCAAUGGGUGGGUUUUAACUCAGUGUCUGACAGUGGGAGCUCAGUCCUCCUGUGAAGAACAGCGCAAGGGUCCGCCCCGCGGCCAAAUGAUUAAGUUCACGCACUCCUCUUCGGCGGUCCAGGGUUUCGCCCAUUCGGAUCCUGGGCGUGGACCUAGCACCGCUCAUCAGGCCACGCUGAGGCAGGUCCCACACGCCACAACUAGAAGGACACACAGCUAGAAUAUACAACUAUGUACUGGGGGGCUUUGAGGAGAAGGAAAAAUAAAAUAAAAAGAACUCAAAAUGCUGGGUAAAAUAUUAAAGUCAGUUAGGGCCUGGGAAAGCCCAGCCUGAAAAGCUUUUAGGGGACAAGAUCCAUAAGGGGAGAGGCCCAGGGUGGUGGCCCGUCUCCUCCGUGGCUUCCACUGGUUGCAGAAUGGGUAGGAAGGUGCAGAGCACUUCUGACUGCCUCAGGUAGCAGGUGGCACAGACCUCAGGCCUGGGCUGAACUGAACCAGCCUCAGGGGCCAGGGGUCUUAGGACGACAAGACAGGGCCAGUGAGGGGAAGGCAGCCAACAGGAUGGGGCACCACGGCCAGGGCUGCCUGCAUCCUGGGUGUUGGACUAACACAGACAAGGAAAUGAGGCUGAAAUUCCAUGUAUGCAUUUUUCAAGUUAUGUUAAAUUGGUGCUUAAAACUUGGUGGAUGUUGACACCUUCAUAGUCAGAACUAACGCCCUUGCUUUUCCAACUGUUUCAGCCUGCACCCCACACUUUGCUGGGAGAGGCAUGCCCACUGGGAUCGCCGCUGCCCUCCCUCCUGGGGUCCCUGCACCUGGGGAGGCAGAGUGACCCGUGCCAGCCGCUGUCCUUGAGAUAAAGGCUUUCCACUUGCUGUGGUAGCAGCAUGUCUGUGUCUGCAAAACCUCAAGCAGCGGCAGAGCUCACCCCUGGCCCCAAGGAGAAGCCCAGGGGAAAGCCACUCCUCCCCUGGGACUCUCUCUUCAGCCACCGAAGUGAGAAGAUUGUCUUCACCAAGAGUGACAGUGUCCCCGAGGAGAACGUGCUCACCAUCACCAUCACGGAGACCACCGUCAUCGAGUCAGACCUGGGCAUAUGGAGCUCCCGCGCCCUGUUCCACCUCACGCUCUGGUUCUUCUUCAGCUUCUGCACUCUCUUCCUCAACAAGUACAUCCUGUCCUUGCUGGAGGGGGAGCCCAGCAUGCUAGGUGCUGUGCAAAUGCUGUCAACUACAUUUAUUGGAUGUAUUAAAAUAUUUGUUCCUUGCUGUUUAUAUCAGCACAAAACCCGGCUUUCUUAUCCACCCAAUUUCAUCAUGAUCAUGCUGUUUGUGGGUCUAAUGAGGUUCGCCACAGUGGUGUUGGGUCUGGUCAGCCUGAAAAACGUGGCGGUUUCGUUCGCUGAGACUGUGAAGAGCUCUGCCCCCAUUUUCACUGUGAUCAUGUCCCGCAUGAUCCUUGGCGAGUACACUGGGUUGCUGGUCAACCUCUCCCUCAUCCCAGUCAUGGCAGGCCUGGCGCUGUGCACGGCGACCGAGAUAAGCUUCAACGUUCUGGGAUUUUCGGCUGCAUUGUCCACCAACAUCAUGGACUGUUUGCAAAAUGUUUUUUCAAAAAAGCUCCUGAGCGGGGACAAAUACAGGUUCUCGGCUGCCGAGCUGCAGUUCUACACUAGCGCCGCCGCCGUGGCCAUGCUGGUCCCAGCCUGGAUCUUCUUCAUGAUGCUGCCUCAGCAUGGCUUGAUGAGCAGUGUGUGUGGGUCCACACCCAGGAUCCAAACCGGCGAAGCCUGGGCUGCCGAAGCGGAGUACGUGAACUUAACCACUGUGCCACCAGGCCAGCCCCAGAGCAUCAUUUUUGUUCUGGCACAUAGGACCUGCCUGUGAUUGGGAGGAGCGGGAAGAGCUUCAGUUACAACCAGGAUGUCGUGCUGCUGCUGCUGACGGACGGCGUGCUGUUCCACCUGCAGAGCGUCACGGCCUACGCCCUCAUGGGGAAGAUUUCCCCUGUGACUUUCAGUGUCGCCAGCACCGUGAAGCAUGCCUUGUCCAUUUGGCUCAGUAUUAUAGUUUUUGGCAACAGAGUCACCAGCCUGUCGGCCAUUGGCACCGUCCUGGUGAUGGUCGGCGUCCUGCUCUACAAUAAGGCCAAGCAGCACCAGCGGGAGGCCAUGCAGAGCCUGGCCGCAGCCACCAGCAAGACACCAGAGGACGACGUGGAGCCGCUGGUCCCCAAGGACCCCAGACCACACCACUGAGCUCCAGAAGCCUCGGCGGGCACCCAGGGCCCCGAGACGCUGCCUGUGGCUGCUCUCCUCCACGCCAACAUGGGUCCCCUGUGCUCCUCCUGCUCCCUGGAAACCAGGCUUGGGGACACCCAGCCUCCACAAGUCACAGUUGGGGCACAGGAAACUGGGGACCUACAGCCUUUCCUGCCUUUCUGGGGUUUUCAGUCAAAACCGACAGGAACUCAGUUUGAGAAUCCCAGAUAUCAGCUCCUGGGGACAGAGACCAGAGCCAGCUGCCACUGAGCCAUCACCAAGUAAUGUGAAAACCCCCCCAUUGACCCCCUGCUGAGUGCAUGGGAGGGGUUGGGACCCAGGCAAGCCUCUGCAUGUCCCUCACCAGGCACGCAGUUCCAGCUGCAGUGAGGCCAGGCACACAUUCCUCUGCGAGGGACAACUGUGAAGCCAGAGCCGGGUCCAGGUACCAACGCACACUGCUCCCUGCUCAGUGUCAGCAGAGGAAACCCAGCUUCCCCACGCCAGCCAUCAAUGGCCACUCUGCUCCUCAGCCAUCUGGGGAGACCGCAGUGCUAGGACAGAAGGCCAGAUUGCCCAGUACCUGGGCACAGAGGUCACAGCAGCCUGAGAGACCACUGAGCCGGGCAGAGUGGAGAGGAGACAGACAGGGUGCAGAAACAAGGGUCCCCUGCUGCUGAGGGUGGGGUGUUGGGCCCUUGCCUUCUCCCCCUUCCACCUGGAGCGUCCUCUCCCACCCCAGAGCUGCCAGCAUCUGGUACCACUUAAAGCAAGGUCCCUCAUGGAGGGGAGGGGUGCCCCAGCCCCUCUCAGAGUCUGCUGCACUAAGGCUCCUGCCUCCCAAGGGUCCUGCUCCUCGGGCUCCAGCCAGUGACCCCUGAAGUGGUGAUUUCCGGCCCUGGAGGUUGAGGACGGACAUCGGUGGUGGUUAACUUGGGGCAGGGAGAUGCUCAUGUUCCUGUUCUGGGCUCGUGUGUGUAACGGACUGUGCUGAGGGCUUGGCACAGCUGCCCUCACUUGGCUGGGCAGGAGCUGAGCCUUAACUGUGUCAUCGAGGAGGAUGUUAAGAUUUUCCUUGUGAAUGGAUGAGCAGGGGGAGCGGCGGGAAGAAUGUCUGCAGUGUUUUCAGUUUUCAUUAUGCUGCACUUAAAAUGACAGAAUAGUUUUUUAAAAAGGAAGCACAGGCCCAGAUGCUUCUGGGAUGCAUCAUGUUUGUUGGGUAAACCCCACUCUGAACCACAGCCCGGCCUGCCUGGCUCUCCUCUCCCAGAGCCUGUGUUGGGUUGAGGCUCCUAACCUCUUCGCUUUAUUCCUCAUCUUGCCUCCUGGUGGGAUUUCUGAUCAAGGCAGGUCUGUUGCCAGCCAGUGCUUGAGGCCCUCCCCAUCUUGCCAAGCUUGAGUUCUGGGGCUUGUCAAAUGCAGCCUGACUUAGUGGGCACGCUCUGGCCACCUGGCCAUCUGAAGCCUGCCUUCUGGGACUGAGUGAAUUAACUGAGGAAAGGAAUUUAAGGCACUAAUUGUUCCCUAAGUCUCAUUUCCCCUCCCUGCUGUUCAGGUCCUUGGCUCCCAUAAUUGGUUCACUGGUUUUCUAGUUGGCUUCUCAACUCGAAAAUAUAAAAACAGCCCCUCCUGGAGAUCAAAUCUCUUGGUAACAAAGAGCAAUAAUUACAUCUCAUUAAGUUCUACCUACCUGAAAAAGUUUGCCGUGAUCAUGGAUUAAAAUGAGGCCUUUUAAACUACAACCUUUUCACGAAGCUGAGCUGCAUCCAGAGGACAGGCAGGUGUGUGCUCCCCUGCACAGCCAGUUCACCUUCACCGUGAAGAUGUUUCUCGUGUGGCUUCCCUAGGUUUCCAGCCCUACCCCUCUCCUCCUGCUUCCCCACCAAACAAAACUAAAGAGGAUUCCCUGGAGGGGGUGCGGGUGGGAUGUUGCAUUGAACUGUGAGGACCAGAGGAAGGCACCACUUCCAUGGGGCUCCUGCCUCCGCCCUCAAGAAUGGGGCUGCUACGCCAGCUGCUUGCGAGUGGGAUGUGAACAGAGAAGGGGACCCAUCUUUGGUCACCCCGUUGCAGGAUUUUGACAUUGGCCUUCUCGCAGACUUUGUCAUCUGAGUGUAAUGAGAUACACAGGCACCUGCUUCCAAGUAUUGUUAGGGGUUUCCAGUCCAUGUCUCGAGUGGAACUACAAAGCUGCGCGUCAUGGCGUGCCCCUCCCUCCACCCCCACAAGUGGCUUCAGCCUGUUUUAGUUUUCUAAAUUUUGGACCAGAAACAAAACGAAGAUUUUCCUAAAUUAUUAGUAAAUGAGGCAAUUUCCUGCAGAGCUGCUUUUGAGACUUUCCUUGUCCUGGGUGGGAAAAGCACCCAGGGACGUGCUGUGGCCGGCCCCGCCCUCACUCCGGCUUACGUUCCUUCCAUCCUUUAUCAGUCUCGUCUCCACUCCACGUCGUCGCCCACUGGGCAUUUCCAGGACAGCUCCAUGUGAGGAGUCCAAACCCGCAGCCUGGUUUGUUAAUGACUGCACAGACAUGUUUUUUUAAUUAACUUUGUCUAGUAGUGUUUAUAGUAUGUUCUUGUUGAACUGCCACAGACGUGUUGGACCACCAUGGACAAUGAGUGUGGCUAUACUGGGUCAGUUCCUCCCGUGUCCAUGGUCGCUGUCCAUGCCUCUGUAAACACACACUUGAACCAGUCUUCCGAGACAGCUCUCUGUUUGCUUACGUCGAUACUUAGAGAUGUACAGGUCUCUGGCUUUCAAGGAAACUUCCACUACUGAAUGGCAUAAAAAGCUUUUUUUUUUUUUUUUUAAAGAUUGGCACC